Molecule: ribosomal RNA, 301 nt
Filed under: uncultured bacterium
Lineage: Bacteria
Description: partial 16S ribosomal RNA
Rfam family: Bacterial small subunit ribosomal RNA
Source: RNAcentral
CAGCCGCCACGGUAAUACGAAGGGGGCUAGCGUUGCUCGGAAUGACUGGGCGUAAAGGGCGCGUAGGCGGAUCACGCAGUCAGAUGUGAAAUUCCUGGGCUUAACCUGGGGGCUGCAUUUGAGACGCGUGGUCUAAAGUGUGAAAGAGGGUCGUGGAAUUCCCAGUGUAGAGGUGAAAUUCGUAGAUAUUGGGAAGAACACCGGUGGCGAAGGCGGCGACCUGGUUCAUUACUGACGCUGAGGCGCGAAAGCGUGGGGAGCAAACAGGAUUAGAUACCCGCGUAGUCCCUGUCUCUUAUAC